RNAcentral lists this ribosomal RNA (459 nucleotides) under uncultured bacterium. RNAcentral's name for it is "partial 16S ribosomal RNA". It matches the Rfam family "Bacterial small subunit ribosomal RNA", at positions 338 to 795 of the family's 1533-position model. The record is from RNAcentral.
CCUACGGGAGGCAGCAGUGAGGAAUAUUGGUCAAUGGGCGGGAGCCUGAACCAGCCAAGCCGCGUGAGGGAAGAAGGUACAGCGUAUCGUAAACCUCUUUUGUCAGGGAACAAAGGCGGGGACUAGUCCCCGGAUGAGGGUACCUGAAGAAAAAGCAUCGGCUAACUCCGUGCCAGCAGCCGCGGUAAUACGGAGGAUGCGAGCGUUAUCCGGAUUUAUUGGGUUUAAAGGGUGCGCAGGCGGCCUGUUAAGUCAGCGGGAAAAGCACGGGGCUCAACCCCGGAGAGCCGUUGAAACUGGCGGGCUGGAGUUGGAGAGAAGUACGCGGAAUGCGUGGUGUAGCGGUGAAAUGCUUAGAUAUCGCGCAGAACCCCGAUUGCGAAGGCAGCGUACCGGCUCCACACUGACGCUGAGGCACGAAAGCGUGGGUAUCGAACAGGAUUAGAUACCCGAGUAGUC